UAGGGUUCGAUUCUGGCUCAGGACGAACGCUGGCGGCGUGCCUAAUACAUGCAAGUCGAACGGUUAUUAGAUGUUGGAAUCUUUCGGGGUGAAGACAUUUGAGGAUAGUGGCGAACGGGUGAGUAACGCGUGAGUAACCUGCCCUAAAGACUGGGAUAACACCGUGAAAGCGGUGCUAAUACCGGAUGUGGCUGAGAUUUCGCAUGAGAUUUCAGUCAAAGGAGCAAUCCGCUUUAGGAUGGGCUCGCGUUCCAUUAGCUAGUUGGCAGGAUAAAAGCCUACCAAGGCGAUGAUGGAUAGCCGGCCUGAGAGGGUGUACGGCCACAUUGGGACUGAGACACGGCCCAGACUCCUACGGGAGGCAGCAGUAGGGAAUUUUGCGCAAUGGGGGAAACCCUGACGCAGCGACGCCGCGUGAACGAAGAAGACCUUCGGGUCGUAAAGUUCUGUCUAGAGGGACGAAUAAAUGACGGUACCUCUGGAGGAAGCCCCGGCUAACUACGUGCCAGCAGCCGCGGUAAUGCGUAGGGGGCGAGCGUUGUCCGGAAUUACUGGGCGUAAAGGGCGCGCAGGCGGUUGGAUAAGUCACACGUGAAAGGCAUCGGCUUAACCGGUGAAAGUCGUGUGAAACUGUCCGACUUGAGUGCAGUAGAGGGAAGUGGAAUUCCUAGUGUAGCGGUGAUAUGCGUAGAUAUUAGGAGGAACACCAGUGGCGAAGGCGACUUUCUGGGCCGCAA
RNAcentral lists this ribosomal RNA (737 nucleotides) under uncultured bacterium. RNAcentral's name for it is "bacterial SSU rRNA". It matches the Rfam family "Bacterial small subunit ribosomal RNA", at positions 1 to 739 of the family's 1533-position model. The record is from RNAcentral.